Pelobates cultripes (western spadefoot toad) is the source of this 207-nucleotide non-coding RNA. The record is from the annotation of a GenBank genome assembly. Lineage: Eukaryota; Metazoa; Chordata; Amphibia; Anura; Pelobatidae.
GUGAACAUGAUCAGUUUGGAGUAUGUGGCUGGUAUUACACAUUUGUGUAAUGUUUUAGUGUGCAUAUAAAGUUAUUUAGUGUGCAUGUAUAGGUGUGUUUGUGCACUGUGUUUCCAAUUCCCAUCUGCCACCCUUUAUCUUUCUCCAUCCUCCUCCAUGAAUCUCUGCCUCACAUGUGUACCUCUCCCCCCUUUCCCCAACAAUCCC